ACGGAAGGCAGCAUCUAAGAAUAUUCCGCAAUGGACGAAAGUCUGACGGAGCGACGCCGCGUGGAUGAUGAAGGCCGGAAGGUUGUAAAAUCCUUUUAUAACUGAGGAAUAAGUAAGGUGAGAGAAGCGCCUUAUGGUGACUGUAGGUUAUGAAUAAGCAACGGCUAAUUACGUGCCAGCAGCCGCGGUAACACGUAAGUUGCGAGCGUUGUUCGGAAUUAUUGGGCGUAAAGGGCAUGUAGGCGGUUUUGCAAGCUUGGUGUGAAAUCCCGGAGCUUAACUCCGGAAUUGCGUUGAGAACUGCAUAACUAGAGUCACUGAGGGGCAAUCAGAAUUCCUGGUGUAGGGGUGAAAUCUGUAGAUAUCUGGAAGAAUACCAAUGGCGAAGGCAGGUUUCAGGCAGAUAACUGACGCUGAGGUGCGAAGGUGCGGGGAGCAAACAGGAUUAGAUACCCUGGUA
RNAcentral lists this ribosomal RNA (460 nucleotides) under uncultured Treponema sp. Its description in RNAcentral is "partial 16S ribosomal RNA". It matches the Rfam family "Bacterial small subunit ribosomal RNA", at positions 341 to 792 of the family's 1533-position model. Lineage: Bacteria; Pseudomonadati; Spirochaetota; Spirochaetia; Treponematales; Treponemataceae. The record is from RNAcentral.